AAGGGCACCACAAGAACGCGUGGAGUAUGUGGCUUAAUUUGGCUCAACGCGGGGAAUCUUACCAGGUCCGGACACACAGAGGAUUGACAGGUGACUCAAAAAGUUCGCUUUUUGAAAAAUAUGCUAGUCCUUUCAUGAUCGUGUGAUAGGUGGUGCAUGGCCGUUCUUAGUUCGUGGAGCAAUCUGUCUGCUUAAUUGCGCUGUCAAGGCGGAUAAAAAGACAUUAUAAUCAUAUAUUCAUUUUACUUCUGUAUUAUGUUUUAUUGAUUGUCUGUAUUCCGCGCGCGCAACGAACGAGACCGCAACGUUUAAGUUGCUCUAUUUGCUUGUACUUCAGGAAAUUCUUUUUCGGAAGGACAUCAAUUUUCUGUACUCUCUUCGGAGGUCGGAAAACAAUAGAUGCUACACUAGACGGACAGCUAACAAUUCAAGUUAGAGGAAGGAUGCGGCAAUAACAGGUCUGUGAUGCCCUUUGAUGUUCUGGGCCGCACACGUACUACAAUGAUUCAAUCAGUAAGCAUCUCCAAAAUUUUCAGCUUAUUUGCUUUAAAUCAGUCUACUUCGAAAGUAAGUGGGCAAUCAAUUCGAAGUUUGGAUUUCCACCUAUAUUUAUUAUUAAGCUUUUCGCUUAAAAAUAAUAUUUGACUUUUACUUCGUAGUGGGGACAGACCAUUGUUAAUUGUUGGUCUCGGUCUUAACUAGGAAUGCCUUGUACGGGUCAUUGGUUCAACAAACCACCCGGAAUACGUCCCUGCCCUUUGUACACACCGCCCGUC
RNAcentral lists this ribosomal RNA (776 nucleotides) under Foraminifera environmental sample. RNAcentral describes it as "SSU rRNA". It matches the Rfam family "Eukaryotic small subunit ribosomal RNA", at positions 1160 to 1677 of the family's 1831-position model. The record is from RNAcentral. Lineage: Eukaryota; Foraminifera.